CCCCUGCCUGCCUGCCCAGCAGCCACACUGGACUGCUGGUAAGAAAUCCACUCCAGCUUUCCCAGGGAGGCUGGGUGGAUUUAAAAUAAAUGUAAAAAAUAUUAGUUUGUGAGUGUUAGUGGAAAUGUCUGUGUGUGUGUCUGUGAGUGUUUAUUUUGAAGUGAAUGUGUGUGUGUGUGUCUGUAAGUGUGUAAUUGUGUGUGUCUGUAAGUGAAUGUGUGUGUGUCUGUGAGUGAAUGUGUGUGUUGGUCAGUGAGUGUAUAUGUGUCAGUCAGUGAGUGUGUAUGUGUCGUCAGUGAGUGUGUAUGUGUC
Molecule: non-coding RNA, 312 nt
Organism: Pelobates cultripes (western spadefoot toad)
Lineage: Eukaryota; Metazoa; Chordata; Amphibia; Anura; Pelobatidae
Source: the annotation of a GenBank genome assembly